AGGUAAACACUAGACGGACUGGACUGGGCAAUAGUGGCCUCAUACCUGACCAUACAGGUACACACUAGACUGGACUGGGGCAUAGUGGCCUCAUACCUGACCAUACAGGUAAACACUAGACUGGACUGGACUGGGGCAUAGUGGCCUCAUACCUGACCAUACAGAACCUGCCUGUGUUAAAGAUAGAGAGCUUUGUGGUGAAGAACUGUGUUACCGAGCAACAGAGGUACUACAGGAAGUGGAGAGACGUGACCUUUUCCAUGAAGACCUUUGAACUCACAGACAUAGCUGAUAGCUGGAAUCCACUGCUUGAAGACCAGUAGGCCUCUACACCUGUCAAUCUGGAAAGGAGGAGCCAUGAAGAGYGAGAAGAGAGAGGCAUUGGUCAUUACCAAGCAAGGCCAGGAGCCUCAGGACCUGAACAUCCAAUCAGAUCAAAACCAAUUACAACACAGUCAAAACAAAACGGCUUAUUGGGAAGCACAAAGCAAAAUGCUAUCUGGCCAUACAUCGACAGUACAAUGUGGCUAACUAUUUGACCAUGGUUACUGAUCAAAACCUUUAGAAAAACCUUGACAAAGUACAGGCACAGUGAGCACAGCCUUGCCAUUGAGAAGGGUAGACACAGGAAAACAUGGCUCCCUGUAGAGGGUAGGCUAAGAUCUCUGAUUAAAAUAGGCGACUGAAUUCUGUUGGGGGAAGAUGAAGAGAACUGUGGGUUGUCAGCACACAUGUUAUUGUUAUUGUUCAAUGUAUGGUUAUUUUGACCCUUGAUUAUUGUUGUUACUGUUUGUCCCCUUGACAAUAUUGAUUAUUAUUAUUUGGAAUUAUGUUAAUGUAGUAAAUUAAUCACUUCAUUUCCAAAGUAUAGUGUUUGGCAAUAUGUACAUUGUUACGUCAUGCCAAUAAAGCAAAUUGAAUGAGAGAGAGAGA
This is a non-coding RNA of Salvelinus sp. IW2-2015, 933 nucleotides long. Lineage: Eukaryota; Metazoa; Chordata; Actinopteri; Salmoniformes; Salmonidae. The record is from RefSeq and is a predicted model, not a curated record.